UACGGAGGAUCCAAGCGUUAUCCGGAAUCAUUGGGUUUAAAGGGUCCGCAGGCUGUUUUUUAAGUCAGAGGUGAAAUCCUGCAGCUCAACUGUAGAACUGCCUUUGAUACUGGAAAACUUGAGUUAUUGUGAAGUGGUUAGAAUGUGUGGUGUAGCGGUGAAAUGCAUAGAUAUCACACAGAAUACCGAUUGCGAAGGCAGAUCACUAACAAUAUACUGACGCUCAUGGACGAAAGCGUGGGGAGCGAACAGG
RNAcentral lists this ribosomal RNA (253 nucleotides) under uncultured bacterium. RNAcentral's name for it is "partial 16S ribosomal RNA". It matches the Rfam family "Bacterial small subunit ribosomal RNA", at positions 524 to 776 of the family's 1533-position model. The record is from RNAcentral.